This 440-nucleotide ribosomal RNA is filed under the name uncultured bacterium. Its description in RNAcentral is "partial 16S ribosomal RNA". It matches the Rfam family "Bacterial small subunit ribosomal RNA", at positions 338 to 795 of the family's 1533-position model. The record is from RNAcentral.
CCUACGGGAGGCAGCAGUGGGGAAUAUUGCACAAUGGGGGAAACCCUGAUGCAGCGACGCCGCGUGAGUGAAGAAGUAUUUCGGUACGUAAAGCUCUAUCAGCAGGGAAGAAAAUGACGGUACCUGACUAAGAAGCCCCGGCUAACUACGUGCCAGCAGCCGCGGUAAUACGUCGGGGGCAAGCGUUAUCCGGAUUUACUGGGUGUAAAGGGAGCGUAGACGGCAGCGCAAGUCUGGAGUGAAAUCCCAUGGCUUAACCAUGGAACUGCUUUGGAAACUGUGCAGCUAGAGUGCAGGAGAGGUAAGCGGAAUUCCGAGUGUAGCGGUGAAAUGCGUAGAUAUUAGGAGGAACACCAGUGGCGAAGGCGGCUUACUGGACUGUAACUGACGUUGAGGCUCGAAAGCGUGGGGAGCAAACAGGAUUAGAUACCCUAGUAGUC